Ribosomal RNA from Gorilla gorilla gorilla (western lowland gorilla), 120 nucleotides. The record is from Ensembl. Lineage: Eukaryota; Metazoa; Chordata; Mammalia; Primates; Hominidae.
GUCUAGGCCACACCACCCUGAACAGCGCCCGCUCGCCUCUGAUCUGUUGAAGCUAAGCAGGGUAGGGCCUGGUUAGUACUUGGAUGGGAUUCCGCCUGGUAAUAGCGGGUACCAUAGGCU